CUUGCCCCGCAAACCGACCCGCGAACACGUUAGUUAWCAACACAGCCGGGGGGUGAGGGUGCCGUCGCGCCCCGAGCCCCCUCGGCGCCCGCGGGUGCGCUAUCGGGCCUCGCUACGCCUUCGUGGCGGGUGGGAUGCUCGGUCACGUCGCUCGCGGCCUAACAACGAACCCCCGGCGCGAGUCGCGCCAAGGAAUCGGAAAAUACGAUGAAAGAGCACGUCCCGCUGCCAGCCGGCCCCGUCCGCGGGGUCCGCGCGGGCAGCGACGUGACUCCCGUGUCGCGAAAGAGAUAAAAUACGAAAUGACUCUCGGCAACGGAUAUCUCGGCUCUCGCAUCGAUGAAGAANGUAGCGAAAUGCGAUACUUGGUGUGAAUUGCAGAAUCCCGUGAACCAUCGAGUCUUUGAACGCAAGUUGCGCCCGAGGCCACUAGGCCGAGGGCACGCCUGCCUGGGUGUCACGCAUCGUCGCCCCCUCUAAUCCCUCGGCCCCCCGGGGUACGGAARAGGCGGGGGCGGAAAAUGGCCUCCCGUGCGCUUCUCGCUCGCGGUUGGCCUAAAAUCGAGUCCUCGGCAACGACAAAGCGCCGCGACGAUCGGUGGUGAUGCCUCGAGCGCGCCUCGUCCCUCGGUCGCGUGCGCUUUCGUUGCCCCGGACCCAUCGAGACCCUUGCUAGCGUCGCACAAGCGUCGCACGCGUCGCGACCCCAGGUCAGGCGGGAUUAC
RNAcentral lists this ribosomal RNA (725 nucleotides) under Adansonia gregorii (boab). RNAcentral's name for it is "eukaryotic LSU rRNA". The stretch from base 305 to 460 matches the Rfam family "5.8S ribosomal RNA". The record is from RNAcentral. Lineage: Eukaryota; Viridiplantae; Streptophyta; Magnoliopsida; Malvales; Malvaceae.